CAGUCGCCGCGGUAAUACGUAGGGCGCAAGCGUUAUCCGGAAUUAUUGGGCGUAAAGAGCUCGUAGGCGGUUUGUCGCGUCUGCCGUGAAAGUCCGGGGCUCAACCCCGGAUCUGCGGUGGGUACGGGCAGACUAGAGUGAUGUAGGGGAGACUGGAAUUCCUGGUGUAGCGGUGGAAUGCGCAGAUAUCAGGAGGAACACCGAUGGCGAAGGCAGGUCUCUGGGCAUUAACUGACGCUGAGGAGCGAAAGCAUGGGGAGCGAACAGGAUUAGAUACCCCAGUAGUCCCUGUCUCUUAUAC
Molecule: ribosomal RNA, 301 nt
Filed under: uncultured bacterium
Lineage: Bacteria
Description: partial 16S ribosomal RNA
Rfam family: Bacterial small subunit ribosomal RNA
Source: RNAcentral